This 374-nucleotide ribosomal RNA is filed under the name Stenomantis novaeguineae. Its description in RNAcentral is "partial 12S ribosomal RNA". Lineage: Eukaryota; Metazoa; Arthropoda; Insecta; Mantodea; Liturgusidae. The record is from RNAcentral.
AUACCCUAUUAUUUUUAAUGUAAAAAAUGAGCUGGAGUAAUAUUAGAUAUGGUCUUGAAACUUAAAGAAUUUGGCGGUAGUAUAGUCUAUUUAGAGGAAUCUGUUAUGUAAUCGAUAGUCCACGUUGAACCUUACUUUUAUUAAUUUCUUGUAUACCGCUGUUUAGUGAAUAUACUUAGAGGUUAUUUUCAGAAUAAUAAAUUAAUUAAGAUUUCAAGUCAAGGUGCAGUAAUAUAAAAGUUGAAUAAUGGAUUACAAUAAAUUUUAUUUAUAUGGAUAAUUUUUGUUAAAAAAGAAUUAGAAGGUGGAUUUAAUUGUAAUUUUUGAUAAGAGUAGAAAAAUGAUUUUAGCUCUAUAAUAUGUACACAUCGCCC